Non-coding RNA from Pelobates cultripes (western spadefoot toad), 213 nucleotides. The record is from the annotation of a GenBank genome assembly. NCBI's taxonomy places the organism in Eukaryota, Metazoa, Chordata, Amphibia, Anura, Pelobatidae.
CAGAGAUUGCUACUGUAGUGCUCGCUAGAUGGUCCUAGUUCCUACUGCAUAGCACGAGUCUGUGUAAAUGCACUCACACUGUGGUGCUCGUGGACAAUUUUAUAGUGUCUCCAGAUGCGGGGCACCGGGGAAUUAAAAUCAGGAUGGUGGGACAGGACCAGUUGAGAUCCCUGUAAAUAGGAAAUAAAACUUGCUGUGACAACUUCUUCCCCA